Molecule: ribosomal RNA, 623 nt
Filed under: uncultured Acidobacteriota bacterium
Lineage: Bacteria; Pseudomonadati; Acidobacteriota
Description: bacterial SSU rRNA
Rfam family: Bacterial small subunit ribosomal RNA
Source: RNAcentral
UGGCGUCCGGGUGAGUAACGCGUAGAUCAUCUACCUUCGGGUGGGGAAUAACUCAGGGAAACUUGAGCUAAUACCGCAUAACAUCGAAAGAUCAAAGCAGGGGAUCGCAAGACCUUGCGCCUGAAGAGGAGUCUGCGUCUGAUUAGCUAGUUGGUAAGGUAAUGGCUUACCAAGGCUUCGAUCAGUAGCUGGUCUGAGAGGACGGCCAGCCACAUUGGCACUGAAACACGGGCCAAACUCCUACGGGAGGCAGCAGUGGGGAAUUUUGGGCAAUGGGCGAAAGCCUGACCCAGCAAUGCCGCGUGAACGAUGAAGUCCUUCGGGAUGUAAAGUUCGGAAGUAAGGAACGAAAAGCUAUGGGAUAAUACCCUGUAGCGCUGACGGUACCUUAUCUAAGCCCCGGCUAACUACGUGCCAGCAGCCGCGGUAAUACGUAGGGGGCAAGCGUUGUUCGGAAUUACUGGGCGUAAAGCGCGUGUAGGCGGUCUGGCAAGUCAGAUGUGAAAGCCCCGGGCUCAACUUGGGAACUGCAUUUGAUACUGCCAAGCUAGAGUACAGAAGAGGUGACUGGAAUUCCCAGUGUAGCGGUGAAAUGCGUAGAUAUUGGGAGGAACACCAGAUGC